AGCGAACGCUGGCGGCAGGCUUAACACAUGCAAGUCGAGCGGGCAUCCUUGUGGUGUCAGCGGCAGACGGGUGAGUAACGCGUGGGAACGUGCCCUUCGGUUCGGAAUAACUCAGGGAAACUUGAGCUAAUACCGGAUACGUGCGAGAGCAGAAAGGUUUAUCUGCCGAAGGAUCGGCCCGCGUCUGAUUAGCUAGUUGGUGAGGUUAUGGCUCACCAAGGCGACGAUCAGUAGCUGGUCUGAGAGGAUGAUCAGCCACACUGGGACUGAGACACGGCCCAGACUCCUACGGGAGGCAGCAGUGGGGAAUAUUGGACAAUGGGGGCAACCCUGAUCCAGCUAUGCCGCGUGAGUGAUGACGGCCUUAGGGUUGUAAAGCUCUUUUCUUCGGGACGAUAAUGACGGUACCGGAGGAAUAAGCCCCGGCUAACUUCGUG
RNAcentral lists this ribosomal RNA (437 nucleotides) under uncultured bacterium. RNAcentral describes it as "partial 16S ribosomal RNA". It matches the Rfam family "Bacterial small subunit ribosomal RNA", at positions 29 to 507 of the family's 1533-position model. The record is from RNAcentral.